GCUGAAGGCUUGUAUGAAAAGUUGCAACAGGCCGGUGUUGAAGUAUUAUUUGAUGAUCGUACUGAACGGGCCGGUGUGAAGUUUAAAGACGCAGACCUCCUGGGAAUGCCGGUCAGAGUAACCGUUGGGGCAAAAGCAAACGAGGGUACGGUGGAGAUUAAACUGCGCCGUACGGGUGAAGCUAAGGAACUUUCACCUGAAGAAGUUCUUAAAGAGCUCCCUGAUUGGCUGAAACGAGCAGACGGUUAAAAAUGAACCCGGUCAUCAGACUGCGGGGAAGCGGUUCGGGGAGUGCAGGGAAAUAUUUAUCCGGGAAAGCGCAUCUACCGCAGCGUGCUUGUAUAUCGGGUAAGUUCCGACCCGCACGAAAGGCGUAACGAAUCUGGGCGCUGUCUCAACGAGAGACCCGGUGAAAUUGUACUGCCAGUGAAGAUGCUGGCUACCCGCGACAAGACGGAAAGACCCCGUGGAGCUUUACU
This 479-nucleotide ribosomal RNA is filed under the name Paenactinomyces guangxiensis. Its description in RNAcentral is "partial 23S ribosomal RNA". It matches the Rfam family "Bacterial large subunit ribosomal RNA", at positions 1212 to 2105 of the family's 2925-position model. The record is from RNAcentral. Lineage: Bacteria; Bacillati; Bacillota; Bacilli; Caryophanales; Thermoactinomycetaceae.